Molecule: long non-coding RNA, 610 nt
Filed under: Homo sapiens (human)
Lineage: Eukaryota; Metazoa; Chordata; Mammalia; Primates; Hominidae
Description: non-protein coding lnc-ZNF30-3:3
Source: RNAcentral
GCUCAAGGACAUGAGAUGCGGAUCAGGCCCAAGAGGCUGGAUGCCAAACCUAUCCUCUCCAUGUGAAGCACCAACUUGGGGGUGUCAACUAAAAAUAUGAGACCCGUAAACUUGGAAAGGAAGACUUUAUUUCUUGAGAAGGGUUGCAAACUGCAGGCUGGGAAGUGGCACCUCCAGCUGAGACCACAAACAGGUACUUUGAGGGAGAUAGGGUGGGAUAGGAGUUUUAUGCCAAACAGGUUGGCUAAACAGACAUAUUCAACAGGUCACAGGGGGAACUAUGAAUAUUCAUGAAAGGGGGUCAUAUGUGUGCUUGAUAAGCAAACAUAUGUGUUACAUACAUCCCAUGUUCACCUUCGAGUGGAGAAUUAACAUUAAAAUGCAGUAAAAUUAGGUUCUGUAUGUUAAAAGGUGAAACACAGGACAUGAAGACACUUUGUACACAGCCUCGGUGAACCAGCCAGAACCAGCCCAUGGUUGAAUACUUUGUAGCCUAGUCAGUUUGUCACUUCAAAACUGCAAAAAGGGCUGGGAGUCAGGCCGCAUCAGCAGGCAGUUGGUUGAAGUCAGCGGAGGGGUGUUCCAUUCUUUGUUUUUCCAGGGCUUGUUU